GGCCGCCUGGCGAAAUGGCAUCGCGUCUGACUACGAAUCAGGAGAUUGCAGGUUCGAGACCUGCGGUGGUCA
Molecule: transfer RNA, 72 nt
Filed under: Plicaturopsis crispa FD-325 SS-3
Lineage: Eukaryota; Fungi; Basidiomycota; Agaricomycetes; Amylocorticiales; Amylocorticiaceae
Description: tRNA-Arg (ACG) (tRNA-Arg-ACG-2-1)
Rfam family: tRNA
About the family: Transfer RNA (tRNA) molecules are approximately 80 nucleotides in length.
Source: RNAcentral